CUUGCUUCUCUUGAGAGCGGCGGACGGGUGAGUAAUGCCUAGGAAUCUGCCUGGUAGUGGGGGAUAACGUUCGGAAACGGACGCUAAUACCGCAUACGUCCUACGGGAGAAAGCAGGGGACCUUCGGGCCUUGCGCUAUCAGAUGAGCCUAGGUCGGAUUAGCUAGUUGGUGGGGUAAUGGCUCACCAAGGCGACGAUCCGUAACUGGUCUGAGAGGAUGAUCAGUCACACUGGAACUGAGACACGGUCCAGACUCCUACGGGAGGCAGCAGUGGGGAAUAUUGGACAAUGGGCGAAAGCCUGAUCCAGCCAUGCCGCGUGUGUGAAGAAGGUCUUCGGAUUGUAAAGCACUUUAAGUUGGGAGGAAGGGCAGUUGCCUAAUACGUAACUGUUUUGACGUUACCGACAGAAUAAGCACCGGCUAACUCUGUGCCAGCAGCCGCGGUAAUACAGAGGGUGCAAGCGUUAAUCGGAAUUACUGGGCGUAAAGCGCGCGUAGGUGGUUUGUUAAGUUGGAUGUGAAAUCCCCGGGCUCAACCUGGGAACUGCAUUCAAAACUGACUGACUAGAGUAUGGUAGAGGGUGGUGGAAUUUCCUGUGUAGCGGUGAAAUGCGUAGAUAUAGGAAGGAACACCAGUGGCGAAGGCGACCACCUGGACUAAUACUGACACUGAGGUGCGAAAGCGUGGGGAGCA
Molecule: ribosomal RNA, 695 nt
Filed under: Pseudomonas sp. NB86
Lineage: Bacteria; Pseudomonadati; Pseudomonadota; Gammaproteobacteria; Pseudomonadales; Pseudomonadaceae
Description: bacterial SSU rRNA
Rfam family: Bacterial small subunit ribosomal RNA
Source: RNAcentral